UACGAAGGGGGCUAGCGUUGUUCGGAUUUACUGGGCGUAAAGCGCACGUAGGCGGAUCGUUAAGUCAGGGGUGAAAUCCUGGGGCUCAACCCCAGAACUGCCUUUGAUACUGGCGAUCUCGAGUCCGGAAGAGGUGAGUGGAACUCCUAGUGUAGAGGUGGAAUUCGUAGAUAUUCGCAAGAACACCAGUGGCGAAGGCGGCUCACUGGCCCGAUACUGACGCUGAGGCACGAAAGCGUGGGGAGCAAACAGG
RNAcentral lists this ribosomal RNA (253 nucleotides) under uncultured bacterium. Its description in RNAcentral is "partial 16S ribosomal RNA". It matches the Rfam family "Bacterial small subunit ribosomal RNA", at positions 524 to 776 of the family's 1533-position model. The record is from RNAcentral.